UUGACGUCUUCGACUUGUUAAAAUUCUUGUUCUCCCGCAAGCUCCAUGAAAGAAAAUUUGUAGAAUCCAGCCACCCCGCCGAGUUCAAUUUCGCCCACAGACUUCUCAUCAUCAUCUCCAUCAUCGUCCUGAAGCUCCUCCAAUUGUUUGCCGCCCCACUCGCCUUGCUUGGCUUCGUCGUUGAGUUCAGCCUCAACUUUUUGUCGGCCAACGGCGGCGUUUUUGGCCUCCUCAAUAUCUUCCGAUUGAGGUUGAAAUUACCGGACAGCUCAUCGGCGGAUUACCAGUCAAUAGUUGGUUGAAAGAACAGCGUUAGACCAAAGUAUAAAGCCUGGGGAUGCCAACUACAACGCUGCUCUCUGCAUGAUGGCUUCUAAACUAGUCUAUGAGAAUGAAGCUCGCGUUACGAAUAAGUUUUAUGUUUCUUAAAUUAUUAUGUUAUGUUCAAGUGUUUGUGUGUUGGUAUUUUUGUUGGU
Molecule: long non-coding RNA, 476 nt
Organism: Cucurbita maxima (winter squash)
Lineage: Eukaryota; Viridiplantae; Streptophyta; Magnoliopsida; Cucurbitales; Cucurbitaceae
Exons: 2
Source: RefSeq, a predicted model, not a curated record